UACGAAGGGAGCUGGCGUUGUUCGGAAUCACUGGGCGUAAAGCGCACGUAGGCGGAUGUGUCAGUCAGGGGUGAAAUCCCGGAGCUCAACUUCGGAACUGCCUCUGAUACAGCACGUCUUGAGUCCGAUAGAGGUGGGUGGAAUUCCUAGUGUAGAGGUGAAAUUCGUAGAUAUUAGGAAGAACACCGGUGGCGAAGGCGGCCCACUGGAUCGGUACUGACGCUGAGGUGCGAAAGCGUGGGGAGCAAACAGG
This 253-nucleotide ribosomal RNA is filed under the name uncultured bacterium. Its description in RNAcentral is "partial 16S ribosomal RNA". It matches the Rfam family "Bacterial small subunit ribosomal RNA", at positions 524 to 776 of the family's 1533-position model. The record is from RNAcentral.